Molecule: ribosomal RNA, 1432 nt
Filed under: uncultured organism
Description: 16S ribosomal RNA
Rfam family: Bacterial small subunit ribosomal RNA
Source: RNAcentral
CGAACGCUGGCGGCGUGCUUAACACAUGCAAGUCGAACGGAAAGGCCCUGCUUUUGUGGGGUGCUCGAGUGGCGAACGGGUGAGUAACACGUGAGUAACCUGCCCUUGACUUUGGGAUAACUUCAGGAAACUGGGGCUAAUACCGGAUAGGAGCUCCUGCUGCAUGGUGGGGGUUGGAAAGUUUCGGCGGUUGGGGAUGGACUCGCGGCUUAUCAGCUUGUUGGUGGGGUAGUGGCUUACCAAGGCUUUGACGGGUAGCCGGCCUGAGAGGGUGACCGGCCACAUUGGGACUGAGAUACGGCCCAGACUCCUACGGGAGGCAGCAGUGGGGAAUAUUGCACAAUGGGCGGAAGCCUGAUGCAGCAACGCCGCGUGCGGGAUGACGGCCUUCGGGUUGUAAACCGCUUUCGCCUGUGACGAAGCGUGAGUGACGGUAAUGGGUAAAGAAGCACCGGCUAACUACGUGCCAGCAGCCGCGGUGAUACGUAGGGUGCGAGCGUUGUCCGGAUUUAUUGGGCGUAAAGGGCUCGUAGGUGGUUGAUCGCGUCGGAAGUGUAAUCUUGGGGCUUAACCCUGAGCGUGCUUUCGAUACGGGUUGACUUGAGGAAGGUAGGGGAGAAUGGAAUUCCUGGUGGAGCGGUGGAAUGCGCAGAUAUCAGGAGGAACACCAGUGGCGAAGGCGGUUCUCUGGGCCUUUCCUGACGCUGAGGAGCGAAAGCGUGGGGAGCGAACAGGCUUAGAUACCCUGGUAGUCCACGCUGUAAACGGUGGGUACUAGGUGUGGGGUCCAUUCCACGGGUUCCGUGCCGUAGCUAACGCUUUAAGUACCCCGCCUGGGGAGUACGGCCGCAAGGCUAAAACUCAAAGGAAUUGACGGGGCCCCGCACAAGCGGCGGAGCAUGCGGAUUAAUUCGAUGCAACGCGUAGAACCUUACCUGGGUUUGACAUGGAUCGGGAGUGCUCAGAGAUGGGUGUGCCUCUUUUGGGGUCGGUUCACAGGUGGUGCAUGGCUGUCGUCAGCUCGUGUCGUGAGAUGUUGGGUUAAGUCCCGCAACGAGCGCAACCCUUGUUCACUGUUGCCGGCACGUUAUGGUGGGGACUCAGUGGAGACCGCCGGGGUCAACUCGGAGGAAGGUGGGGAUGACGUCAAGUCAUCAUGCCCCUUAUGUCCAGGGCUUCACGCAUGCUACAAUGGCUGGUACAGAGAGUGGCGAGCCUGUGAGGGUGAGCGAAUCUCGGAAAGCCGGUCUCAGUUCGGAUUGGGGUCUGCAACUCGACCUCAUGAAGUCGGAGUCGCUAGUAAUCGCAGAUCAGCAACGCUGCGGUGAAUACGUUCCCGGGGCUUGUACACACCGCCCGUCAAGUCAUGAAAGUUGGUAACACCCGAAGCCGAUGGCCUAACCGUUGUGGGGGAGCCGUCGAAGGUGGGACU